RNAcentral lists this ribosomal RNA (700 nucleotides) under uncultured bacterium. RNAcentral's name for it is "bacterial SSU rRNA". It matches the Rfam family "Bacterial small subunit ribosomal RNA", at positions 78 to 792 of the family's 1533-position model. The record is from RNAcentral.
GCUUGCUCUCUGGAUCAGUGGCGAACGGGUGAGUAACACGUGAGCAAUCUGCCCCUGACUCUGGGAUAAGCGCUGGAAACGGCGUCUAAUACCGGAUACGAGCUGCGAAGGCAUCUUCAGCAGCUGGAAAGAAUUUCGGUCAGGGAUGAGCUCGCGGCCUAUCAGCUAGUUGGUGAGGUAAUGGCUCACCAAGGCGUCGACGGGUAGCCGGCCUGAGAGGGUGACCGGCCACACUGGGACUGAGACACGGCCCAGACUCCUACGGGAGGCAGCAGUGGGGAAUAUUGCACAAUGGGCGCAAGCCUGAUGCAGCAACGCCGCGUGAGGGACGACGGCCUUCGGGUUGUAAACCUCUUUUAGCAGGGAAGAAGCGAAAGUGACGGUACCUGCAGAAAAAGCGCCGGCUAACUACGUGCCAGCAGCCGCGGUAAUACGUAGGGCGCAAGCGUUAUCCGGAAUUAUUGGGCGUAAAGAGCUCGUAGGCGGUUUGUCGCGUCUGCUGUGAAAACCCGAGGCUCAACCUCGGGCCUGCAGUGGGUACGGGCAGACUAGAGUGCGGUAGGGGAGAUUGGAAUUCCUGGUGUAGCGGUGGAAUGCGCAGAUAUCAGGAGGAACACCGAUGGCGAAGGCAGAUCUCUGGGCCGUAACUGACGCUGAGGAGCGAAAGGGUGGGGAGCAAACAGGCUUAGAUACCCUGGUA